This 28-nucleotide non-coding RNA is filed under the name Mus musculus (house mouse). Lineage: Eukaryota; Metazoa; Chordata; Mammalia; Rodentia; Muridae. The record is from RNAcentral.
UUAGAAGACCGAGAUGUGCCGACUGCAC